RNAcentral lists this ribosomal RNA (253 nucleotides) under uncultured bacterium. RNAcentral describes it as "partial 16S ribosomal RNA". It matches the Rfam family "Bacterial small subunit ribosomal RNA", at positions 524 to 776 of the family's 1533-position model. The record is from RNAcentral.
UACAGAGGUCCCAAGCGUUGUUCGGAUUUAUUGGGCGUAAAGGGCGCGUAGGCGGCCACGCACGUCCGUUGUGAAAUCGCCCGGCUCAACUGGGCGGGGUCAGCGGAUACGGUGUGGCUAGAGCAAGCUAGGGGGCAAUGGAAUUCCCGGUGUAGUGGUGGAAUGCGUAGAUAUCGGGAGGAACACCAGUGGCGAAGGCGGUUGCCUGGAGCUUUGCUGACGCUGAUGCGCGAAAGCGUGGGGAGCGAUCCGG